GAUGAACGCUGGCGGCGUGCCUAAUACAUGCAAGUCGAGCGAACAGACGAGGAGCUUGCUCCUCUGACGUUAGCGGCGGACGGGUGAGUAACACGUGGAUGACCUACCUAUAAGACUGGGAUAACUUCGGGAAACCGGAGCUAAUACCGGAUAAUAUAUUGAACCGCAUGGUUCAAUAGUGAAAGACGGUUUUGCUGUCACUUAUAGAUGGAUCCGCGCCGCAUUAGCUAGUUGGUAAGGUAACGGCUUACCGAGGCAACGAUGCGUAGCCGACCUGAGAGGGUGAUCGGCCACACUGGAACUGAGACACGGUCCAGACUCCUACGGGAGGCAGCAGUAGGGAAUCUUCCGCAAUGGGCGAAAGCCUGACGGAGCAACGCCGCGUGAGUGAUGAAGGUCUUCGGAUCGUAAAACUCUGUUAUUAGGGAAGAACAAAUGUGUAAGUAACUAUGCACGUCUUGACGGUACCUAAUCAGAAAGCCACGGCUAACUACGUG
This 497-nucleotide ribosomal RNA is filed under the name uncultured bacterium. RNAcentral's name for it is "partial 16S ribosomal RNA". It matches the Rfam family "Bacterial small subunit ribosomal RNA", at positions 28 to 507 of the family's 1533-position model. The record is from RNAcentral.